Molecule: long non-coding RNA, 3929 nt
Organism: Equus quagga
Lineage: Eukaryota; Metazoa; Chordata; Mammalia; Perissodactyla; Equidae
Exons: 6
Source: RefSeq, a predicted model, not a curated record
GAACCCUGGGCUGCCAAAGUGAAGCACGUGAACUUGACUACUCAGCCAUGGGGCCGGCCCCACACUCUUCUGCUCUUAUACUUUGCCCCAAUGCCCCAAAUCUUGCCCGCUUUCUCAGAUCCACCACCAACAUCACCACCAUCCUCUUUGCACCUGUUAUUCCAUUUGUCUGGAAUGCUGUUCACCACGCCCUGUUAUUCACUCCCCCACCCCUGAUCAUGUCUGUCCAGAGGAUACCACUUGUCUUUCAAGAUUCAAUGCCAAAUUUCUCUCCUGUACUCUAGGAAGCCUUUUCUAGCAUACUAGAACAAGCAGUUCCUCCAUCUACAGUGUUCACAGACCCCUUUGUACAUAAAUCAACCCUUAACUUGUUAUUUAUCGUGCUUUAUUUAUAUGGCUCUCACAGUAGCUCAACUCCAAGUUCCUUGUAGCCAGCAUAAGUCCUGUAAUAAAGGAGGCAUGCAAUAAAUCUUCGUUAAAUGAAAAUAUGAGAAAGAAGCUUGUUAAUAAUUAUGCAGGGAUUCAGAGUGAGCCCUCAAGUGCUCAUGUUUCAAAUGCCCCAAGCCUGAUGGCAGAGACUACAUAUUGGAGAGAGGGCCAUCCCAGGAGCGUGGAGAGUGGCUCCUAGGCACAUCUGUUCAUUCAACAAAUAUUUAUUGAGCACUUACUACGUGGCAGGUAUAAUGAUAGGCAUUGAUAUGCUGGGUGUUCAUUAAAAAAGAGACAACAGGGCCACAAUGACAAUGAUAAAGAAAAGCGUGACAUAGGCAUAGCAUGACAAACCCUAAUGACCAGCCAAAGUUAGCCCAUAUCAUUGGGUGGGAGUGAGGGGCAGGACAGCCCAGCGGAGACCACUGGACACCAGAGCGUAAAGAGACAUUGGUGGCUAGGAGCAUGUGGAGGCCAAUCAGGAACUUUAUAGGAAACAACCCAUACCCUGCCACUUCCUCUCUCCUUGCUUCAUAGUAUGCCCAUUCCAUAAGGCUCAGCUCAUGCCCAGUUUCUUCCCUUAAAUUUCCCCUGACUGCCUUCAGCCUGCUGUGAUCUCCUAAAAGAGCAAUUAACUGUGUUCUUUACUCAUUUAGAAUGUGCCAUAUACUAAUCUAUAUGACUAGCUUCUCAUGUGUUUCUAUCUUAUGUGACAUAUGAAAUUGAAAAUUUAUCCUUCAAUGAAUGUAAAUUGAAGCUCUGCCAGGUGCUGACGAUACCCCAGUGAGCAGGACUGACGUGCAGCCCUGGAGGUGGAGCAGGUAGCUGCACACAAGAACGCAGGGAAACUCAGCCGUUACAAACCGUGGUAAGAAUGCAGGAAACAAAGGACUGAGACAGAAACUGAAGAUUACGUUUAAACAGAGAAGUAAGAGAGGAGCAGUUCCGUGAGGGUGGGGCCAAGGCUUGCAGUUCUCUAUAACCACUCUCCCAUACCCAGGGUCUAAUUCACUGUCUUCACAAUUUUCUUCUUGAAUGUUCUCAUGUGGUCAGUUUUCAUUUAAAUUUGGUGAAAUCUCAGAUGAAGAGAUUAUUGGCAUCGUGUGUGUGUUUUCUCCUCCCAAGUGUUUUACAGGUAUUCCCAGAGACACCAACUAAUUUUUAAAAGAAGAUAUUUGGGAGACUAACGGGCAUCUCCAACUUACCCUGUUCAAAAUCAACCUCCUGAUCUUGGCCCCAGGCAGCAUCUCCAGCACCUAAAACAUGCCUGGAGCUUAGUAGGCACUCGAUGAACAUUUGUCCAUUGAACGAACAAACGGAAGAAGCCAUACCUCAUUGCCCUCAGCUUCCCUUUUUAUGUUACAUUAAAGAGCCACAAGGGGGCUGUACAUCACUCCAUAACAAACAAGGAGCCAGCAAACCCACGUGGUCCACCCUCGGAAGCCUGUCCUUACAGGAACGCCGAGAAUUGCAUAUUGAACAUUUCAAAUUUCAGACAAGAAAGUAACAGACACAGCGACAGGUGCUGGGGAUAGAAAGAUGAAAACGCAGCCCUUGACCUUAAAGAGGUCCCCCUGGAAAGGGAGGACAUCCCAGGGCAGACAUGGAAAGGAACGUCUGCAGUGACAACCCUCUCCUUCCAGUCCUCGGCACCUGACUGGUCACUGAGCUCAGGCCAAGCACUGGGCCGCAAGUUCCAGAACUGGCCUUACUCAGAUCCCAGACAUGAUGCAGAGGCCUCACUCUUCCUCUCUUCUUUUUCUGGAAACAUCUGGAAACUCCUCUGGGGAGAUCUGCCACAUGACCUCUGGUGAACUUCAGACUUUCUGUAUAUUCUUCCGAAGUUCCUCGUUUGUUGGAUAUCAUGAGAAAUGACUUUCAUGGUGCACAGAGAGAAGAUCUAAUCUGAGGUCUGGGUGACUGUUGAACACACAGCUCUUCAGGCUCCUGCCAGGCUGUCGUGUCAUCACGCUGCUGUCCUCACACUGCCCUCUGCCCUGGCAGCAGUGGAGGGCUAUCCUGGAGCAUCUGGGGAGCCAAGGCCACAGUGCCACCCGGCAUGAUGAUGUGGCCCACAGAGCCAGGAAUGGUAAAAGCCUCUCGUCCAUGCCAGACACUGUGCUACUCACUGUUUUUCACUCUUCACUGCAUACCUGUAAUCGGAGCGUUGGUUUAUUCCCAUUUCCUGGGAAAGAAAACCGAGGCUCAGAAUGGUUAAGCCUAAGAUCUCCAGCCACCAUACCGGUUCUCACCGGGAAAAGAGAAAGCACGCCCACCCUACAGAUUCUUGGAAGUCUGGCUCACUAAUCCCUGAGAAAGCCCCCCAACACCCACAGACCACGCAGAAACCGUAUCACUCCUGCAAGCACUCUGGCCAGAACUGGGGCCUGCCGAGGGGACACGUCAGGAGUCAGGGCGAGCCUGGCUCAGUGGGUGUGCUCGUCACACUGGAUGGCCGCAUACCACGGGUAGGCAUGAGUGUGCAUGUGUGCUUGCACACCCAGAGGGAGGGGUGCAGGUGGGGACGAGGGUCAUUUUUACAAAUGCAAAACCUGCAGCCUCCCCACAGAAAAAGGGAAGCCAGACAAAAACUGAACAGCUGGACCACAGCAAGCCCUGCCCCAGCGAGGAGCCAGGGCGGGACUCCCUGUGAGAGAUGAGAAGGCCUUCACCCCACCCCCAGCCUCCCCUGGGCACACAGGGCUGGGGCAGGAACGAGACUGUUCGGUGCUGCCUGUUUGCCCAGGGACCCAGGCUGAAGGCAGCCCACCACUCUGCUAUUUCCUCUCUGAGCCCCAUCCCCCAGCAGUCUGUGAUAUGAGAGCCUGGCCGUGUGCCUGGCAGGUCCUGGCCUGGGCAAGGGGCUGACAGGAAUAGGUAUCUAGGCAAGGAAGGGUGGCACAGAGAAGAGCAUCAUGGGGCCUGGGAGGCCCGGGAGUCCAGGGUGUCAGGCAAGACCCAGUGACUCCCCGACGUCACACGUCAUGGCAGACCUUGGGCUGUUUCGGUACCUGACAGAAUUUCAUCUCCAUGCUAACGGUGAGGGAAGGGUCUGCUGCACACACCACCAGAGCGAGAAGAUUAUGGAGAAGAGGGUUCUAGAAUUCUCUUAAGCAGCCCUGCCGUCUCCCAGGCCUGUGCUUCCUCAUGUGUAAAAGGACGGUCAGCAGUACUCAAAGCUGUCAAGGGCAUCAAAAUCAAGGCAAAUCUAAGAAACUGCCAGUCUUGAAGACCCCAAGGGACCAUGACAAUGAUAACUAAGUGUCAUGUGACACCCUGGAUGCUAUCCUGGAACAGAAAAAGGACAUUAGGUAAAAAUCUGAAUCAAGUAUGGACUUUAGUUAAUAAAGUAACAACACUGAUCCAUUAGUUGUGACAAAUGUAGCAUGCUGAUGUAAGAUGUUAACAACAGGGGAAACUGGUGUGAGGUGUAUGGGGACUCUGUGCUAGCUUCAUAGCUUUUCUGUAAAUUGAAAACUCAUACAAAAUAAAACAUUUGU